This 1942-nucleotide long non-coding RNA is filed under the name Nicotiana tabacum (common tobacco). RNAcentral's name for it is "long non-coding RNA (NTAB_LNC007085)". Lineage: Eukaryota; Viridiplantae; Streptophyta; Magnoliopsida; Solanales; Solanaceae. The record is from RNAcentral.
GGAAAUUCACUUUUAAAUUGUCAAAUUAAUCAACUUCAACAUUUCAACUGGACACCGAUUUAAUUAUUUUCUAAAAAUAAAAGUUUAGAGAUUCAGAAACUGCGUAGUAGAUACAUGAUGGUGGUGUCAUUUCAAAAUGAUACAAAAAGGCUAAGAAAACACAGAAAUAUAUUUAUUUGCUUAAUCAUAAACUGUUACGCCGCUACAUAAUUCGAGGACAAAGAAGAGACCAUAGUCUGUCAGAAAAGGAACUUGAUCUAUAAUUGAUAGCCCCCUUUAAAUUUUCAUUUCUAAAACUGCUAUUCCACCAAUUUCAUCCAAGCAAAAAGUCUAAAACACUUGAAACCAUGGCAAAGCAUGCCAUCAAACAAAUGAGAAGUGCAAUUAAGAGCCAAGUACAAGAUACUUUCUUGAUAUAUAGCAGCAGAUCAAGCAAGAACUUCACAAAAUCCUUGUGAGAGCUCCAAGAUGCCUUGAAACAAUCCUGCGUGCAGACAAGAAGCAUUAUCAAGCUAGUGUGUAGAAAGAUAUCUUUUUCUUUUUGGUUCACAACUGUAGAUAAUUUUUCAAAUUCCACUUUAUUUUGGUCUCUCAGAUAGAUAGUUGCGGUCCUCAUAACUUUUUGUCUAUUAGCUGCAAUUUUAUAAUGUCCUUCAUUAUUCCAGUUUCCACCACUGAACCUAAAUUUUUGACAUUGAACAACUUAUGCAGAUAAGCAAUCUAGUUUGCAAUGUGCCAAAUAGUCGUGUUACAAAAAAUUCUGCAAACAUAGCAUUAAAGGUGCAGAGGUUAUGCACACAUCAAAUCUUUAAGAAGCAGCGAGUAUACUAUUAUCCCUCCUGCCUUAUAUCACAAAAACUAUACCGAACUUAUAUAUUCUAUGUACAAGUUGUUACCAAAAAAAGAAAAAAUUCCCUACAGAUUGAUGGUUUCAGCUAUGAUAUAAGUUAUACAUAUCAGUAAUCCCAAAAUUAAGCUUCAGCUCGAUUAAUGAAAGAUGGAGAAGAUAGUUCAGUAAGAGAAUGGUCGUAGCUACAAAUAAAGAGAAUGAUCAUAGGUACAAACCAGAAAGCAGCCCCUUCACGAGGAAGUUUUAGCUCCUCGCACUUUGGACACCUUCGAAUAGUACAAAAAAUAAUUAGCAGAGAAAUUAAAGUACAGAAACACUUCAGUGAAAGUAACAAUAAAAGGCCAACUAUUGGCAGUAUAACUACAAAAGCAAAUGAAAGAUCACCCAUAGCAAUUGCCAACAGGUGUUGGAUGCAUUAAAUUUCCAACUCCAAGGAUGAUCAACAAAUGUCCCAAAAAGUAAGUUUAUGAUACCAUCACAAAUACAGUACGUCAAAAUGGAAUUCUAUAUGAUUUAUAAAAAUCAACAAAAAUUAUACAAGGCAACACAGCGAGGAAACGAAACAAGGAAUGAAAUAAGCUGACCAAAGCAUAAAAUGGAGACACCAGCAUCAUAAUUACUUUGUCCCACUUUUUUAUGCAACAAACAAGGAAUUUUCAGAAUAUCCAUCUCUCCAUUUCAUAUAAAAUACUCUAUUAUCUCCGGACAUCUUCAGAAUUUUCAGCCACUCAGCUUUAAAUAACAAUAGAUCAAUCACAAACACUUAAAAAAUAGAGAAGACAGAAUAUGCGUAAGAAAUUUAACAGAUAUGGUAAUUCAUUGAAGAAUUUUCUCAAACACCUAGAGAACAAAAGUCGUAACAGAAAUGGUAAUUCAUCGAAGAAUUUUCUCAAACACCUAGACAACAAAAUCCAUUGAUAUUCCUCAAGAGAAAUAUAGAUAGAGAUGAAUCAAAGAGAUGGUAGAAGAGAUACCCACCAGAAAAUAGGAUUGACAGAAAGAAACACAUUGAAGUGCAAACUUGACAACAAGACAUAAACGGAGAGAGCAAAUAUUCUGGAUUUUUCUUAGUCGGAGAUGGCGUUACUUCUC